Molecule: ribosomal RNA, 489 nt
Filed under: uncultured bacterium
Lineage: Bacteria
Description: partial 16S ribosomal RNA
Rfam family: Bacterial small subunit ribosomal RNA
Source: RNAcentral
AUUGAACGCUGGCGGCAGGCCUAACACAUGCAAGUCGAACGGUAACAGGAAACAGCUUGCUGUUUCGCUGACGAGUGGCGGACGGGUGAGUAAUGUCUGGGAAACUGCCUGAUGGAGGGGGAUAACUACUGGAAACGGUAGCUAAUACCGCAUAACGUCGCAAGACCAAAGAGGGGGACCUUCGGGCCUCUUGCCAUCGGAUGUGCCCAGAUGGGAUUAGCUAGUAGGUGGGGUAACGGCUCACCUAGGCGACGAUCCCUAGCUGGUCUGAGAGGAUGACCAGCCACACUGGAACUGAGACACGGUCCAGACUCCUACGGGAGGCAGCAGUGGGGAAUAUUGCACAAUGGGCGCAAGCCUGAUGCAGCCAUGCAGCGUGUAUGAAGAAGGCCUUCGGGUUGUAAAGUACUUUCAGCGGGGAGGAAGGGAGUAAAGUUAAUACCUUUACUCAUUGACGUUACCCGCAGAAGAAGCACCGGCUAACUCCGU